CAGUCGCCGCGGUAAUCCGUAGGUGGCAAGCGUUGUCCGGAAUCAUUGGGCGUAAAGCGCGCGCAGGCGGAUAGGUCAGUCUGUCUUAAAAGUUCGGGGCUUAACCCCGUGAUGGGAUGGAAACCGCCAAUCUAGAGUAUCGGAGAGGAAAGUGGAAUUCCUAGUGUAGCGGUGAAAUGCGUAGAUAUUAGGAAGAACACCAGUGGCGAAGGCGACUUUCUGGACGAAAACUGACGCUGAGGCGCGAAAGCCAGGGGAGCGAACGGGAUUAGAUACCCCCGUAGUCCCUGUCUCUUAUACA
This 301-nucleotide ribosomal RNA is filed under the name uncultured bacterium. Its description in RNAcentral is "partial 16S ribosomal RNA". It matches the Rfam family "Bacterial small subunit ribosomal RNA", at positions 509 to 809 of the family's 1533-position model. The record is from RNAcentral.